GCCCAGGUGGUGCAAUGGUUAAGCGCUCGGCUGCUAACCCAUAGGUUGGUGGUUCGAACCCACCCUGUGGCU
RNAcentral lists this transfer RNA (72 nucleotides) under Loxodonta africana (African savanna elephant). It matches the Rfam family "tRNA". Rfam says of the family: Transfer RNA (tRNA) molecules are approximately 80 nucleotides in length. Their secondary structure includes four short double-helical elements and three loops (D, anti-codon, and T loops). Further hydrogen bonds mediate the characteristic L-shaped molecular structure. tRNAs have two regions of fundamental functional importance: the anti-codon, which is responsible for specific mRNA codon recognition, and the 3' end, to which the tRNAs corresponding amino acid is attached (by aminoacyl-tRNA synthetases). tRNAs cope with the degeneracy of the genetic code in two manners: having more than one tRNA (with a specific anti-codon) for a particular amino acid; and 'wobble' base-pairing, i.e. permitting non-standard base-pairing at the 3rd anti-codon position. Lineage: Eukaryota; Metazoa; Chordata; Mammalia; Proboscidea; Elephantidae. The record is from Rfam by way of RNAcentral.